UUCCUGCCUCGCGGCGUCGGAAGGCGGGGCCGGGAGACGCCGCCGGGACUACUGCAGGCCUUGCCCCGCUGGAGGGACCCUCUGCGAGGCGGCCUCGGAAGGGGAGCGGCGUUGGUGACGGCGGCUGAGGCCCACCGGGGCAAAAGCUGAGGAGUGGUCCAUCGUCCCCGAAAUCAGAAUGAGACAUUUGAAAUGUCUAUGCUGCAGGAUGCUCCAGCUACAAUAUCUUCAGAAAUCCCUGCUGUGGAUGUGCUGCACCAAGAUCUGACCUCUACCACAGACCUCUCCUUUGCCAGCUGCUGAGAAAGGAUUGUCGUAUCAAAUAGUCCAUUUGCUAAGCUAUCUUUAAAGGCCUGGCCAUGUGUGAAAACAAACCCAUUCAUGGAUCCCUUGAGAGCUACAGACAAGAGUUAUCUUUCCUACCCAACUGAAAGAUGAAAUUUUAAGGGGUAAAAGAGUCAGCUGUCAAAAUCUCCUCCUUGGAGGAGUCUGUACAGAUGGCCUCAAAAAUGCCAUUAUUUCCAGCCCACUCAGGGCCUAGAUAAUAUUCAAGUAUUUCAGAAUUUUAAGCAUUCUUCUGGGAGAAGACCUGGUAUUUCUCUGGGGAUUUAUUAUCUUGGUUUUCUUCAGAUCACAUAUUCUUUUAGAUAGAAAAAGCACAUCAGUGAUGUGGUCUGGAAAAAAAAAAAAAAAAAAGAAAUAUGUAGCAUGUGCUCUUUCUUCAGUAUAUAGUUUUCUUGGGUUAAUGCUGGGUAAAUUGAAACUUUCCCAUAGCUAUGAAAGAAUCAUAGAAUUUGGGUUGGAAGGGACCUUUAAGAUCAUCUAGUUCCAACCUGCUGCUAUAGGCAGGGACACCUCCUGCUAGAUUAGAUUGCUCAAAGCCCCAUCCAGUCUGGCCUUGAAUGCUUCCAGGGAAGGGGCACAAACCCACUGAGGACAACUGUCCAGUCGAUUCCUUAUUCGGUGAAUGGCCCAGCCAUCAAAUCCAUUUUUCUCCAAUUUUGCAACCAGGAUGUCACGAAGGACAGAGUCAAACGUCAAGUCCACAUCGAUCACAGAAUCACCAAGGUUGGAAAAGACCUUCAAUAUAAUCCAGUCCAACCAUCCACUUAUCACCAAUAGAUGAUGUCAGUUUCUCUUCCUUUAUCCACUGAUACUGUAAUUCCAUCAUAAAAGGCCACCAAGUUUAUCAGGCAUGACUUGUCUUAGUGAAGCCACUUUGGCUACCACCAAUCACCUCUUUAUUUUCCAUGUGCCAUGGUAGGGCCUUCAGGAGGAUCUGCUCCGUGAUCUUGCCAGGCACAGAGGUGAGGCCUGUAGUUCCCUGGAUCUUCUUUUAUUUUCCUUCUUGAAAAUAAAGUUACAUUUCCCCUCAUCCUAUCAGUGGGAACUUCACCAGACCACUAUGAUCUUUGUCACGUUGUUUGCUUUCUACACUUUAAAAAAUUUUCAGCAAUGGGAAGAACAAGGGGGAAUCUAGCAGGUAUUCUGGGACCUAACUCCAAAUAUUUGGAGCUCAAGUAAUAGAUAACACAGCUAGCAAGGACGAAAUAGUGAAUGGGCAUAACCUUUGCCAGUUUGGGUGAAAGGCAGUGGUGUAAAAAUGCUCAGAAGGCUAGGUAGGAUUGGAACAACAAGAGCUUUAGAGACUGACACUGCCACCUUCUCCUCAGUGCAAGAGGAUGGGCAAAAGUACCCCUGAAACUUGUCAAGAGAGAUUGUUUGUAUGGAUGGAGGGAUUAACUCAUACUUUUUUAACUGGACAAUUCAAAACUUUGUGUGUACAAAACCUAGAAAAUCUUUUAUCUAAUAGAGCUCAGCCCAGCAAGUGCUUAUAUACAACAGUGACAAACUUUGUUGCAGAAAGGGAGAUGAGCUGGAUUCUUAAGCUAAGAUCUUCAGUUGUGCCCCAGAGCAGCAGGCUCUUCGCGUGGUAUUGUUUUUUUUCCCUCUCUCUCCUACUGAGCUUCCUUCUCAAGCAUUUGGUACGAGGUUGAGUUAAUGGUACUAGUGUGAUGACCCUGUAGGACCCCUGCCUUUCUAACUCAGAGAACAGGAAUUCCAAAACUAUAGUUAAGGACACCAGGCAAGUCCUUCUGUGCUCUGGACAGCUUGGUCUGGUUGUUGGCAACUCUGCCUGUGCCAAGGGGGGGUUUAAACUAGAUGAUCAUUGAGGUCCUUUUCAACCCAGGCUAAACUGUGAUUCUAUGAUUCUGUGUUUCCCACAGAGCCCCUCAGAGGCUGAGUACUGGGCUGCAGUUGGCUCUUAUACAGGUGACCACUGGAUAGGAGUCUAUCAGGAAUGCACUUAUGCAAUGAGGGUUUCUGAACACUUCAGAAUGUAAUAAUCAGGAGUAAAUGUAUACAGAGGCUGUUCAAGAGAAUGAAAAAGGGCCAAGAAGGACUCCCCGUACUGAACACGAACCAGGGAGAAGCUAGCUGUGAGUGGGUUAUUCAAGUCAGUACGUUCUGGCUGUUUAAAACAAAAUCAUGCUGAGAGCAUAUGGAUCACCAGCACCCACAAUGAAAUAUCACAGCUAGACUCUAGCUGCAAAGAGAGCCUGAUCAUAACAGGAAACAGUGGAGGCAGGCUCGUGGUGCUGUGAUACAUCGGGUAGGGCAUGGUGAUUGCUAAUAUUCAACCACAAAGGCUUUUAGUCCAUGCACAACUAUGGAGAACAGCCAGGGCUUUUUUCUAUUUGGUUCAUGGGAUGACAAAGGAGGAGCUCUAUGGUCAGGAAGGAAGGAGGGCUUGCAAGGUAUAUUAAUCUCUUGCGGAAUCAGCAGAAUUAUACCAGGGCUGAAUUUGAGAUAAAUGAAGUGAGACCAAAUUAUUGUGGCAAUUCUUACCAAGUUUAUUAGAAAUAUCAGAGUUCUGUGCACAAGUGUCAGUAGUUUGCCUGCCCUAGUUCAUACUGAGUGUGACAGAGACUGACAGUCUUCGUUGAUCUUUCAUAAGAUCACAACAAUUCCUGCAACAAGAUGUCAGUGACAUUAUGAAAGAAAAGAAAAUAAAGAAGGAAAGAAUGUGUGGAGGAGGAAACAAAGAGCUGGGUUUUAUGGGAAUAGAAAGCAGCGAACAGGAAAGAGAGCUCUGCAGGGACAGCAGUAACAAAUCUCAUUACUUCACAAGUCCUGUGGCUGCCAUGUACACAGGAUCUGCAGACACUGUUCAAAGAUCACAGGUUUCUUUUUCAUAUAAAAAUGACCAAUUUGCUUCUCUCUGAGCAAAGUAAAAGUACCUGAGACGCUGCAAAUUCACAAACCCCAUACUAAGGGAAAAUCAGACUGUUGAAAUACUGUCCUUUUUAUAUAUAAAUUAAU
Tympanuchus pallidicinctus (lesser prairie-chicken) is the source of this 3324-nucleotide long non-coding RNA. RefSeq lists it as uncharacterized. The record is from RefSeq and is a predicted model, not a curated record. The transcript has 3 exons. Lineage: Eukaryota; Metazoa; Chordata; Aves; Galliformes; Phasianidae.